This 468-nucleotide ribosomal RNA is filed under the name uncultured bacterium. RNAcentral's name for it is "partial 16S ribosomal RNA". It matches the Rfam family "Bacterial small subunit ribosomal RNA", at positions 28 to 507 of the family's 1533-position model. The record is from RNAcentral.
GACGAACGCUGGCGGCGUGCUUAACACAUGCAAGUCGAACGGAAAGGCCCUGCUUUUGUGGGGUGCUCGAGUGGCGAACGGGUGAGUAACACGUGAGUAACCUGCCCUUGACUUUGGGAUAACUUCAGGAAACUGGGGCUAAUACCGGAUAGGAGCUCCUGCUGCAUGGUGGGGGUUGGAAAGUUUCGGCGGUUGGGGCUGGACUCGCGGCUUAUCAGCUUGUUGGUGGGGUAGUGGCUUACCAAGGCUUUGACGGGUAGCCGGCCUGAGAGGGUGACCGGCCACAUUGGGACUGAGAUACGGCCCAGACUCCUACGGGAGGCAGCAGUGAGGAAUAUUGCACAAUGGGCGGAAGCCUGAUGCAGCAACGCCGCGUGCGGGAUGACGGCCUUCGGGUUGUAAACCGCUUUCGCCUGUGACGAAGCGUGAGUGACGGUAAUGGGUAAAGAAGCACCGGCUAACUACGUG